This 567-nucleotide ribosomal RNA is filed under the name uncultured Magnetospirillum sp. Its description in RNAcentral is "bacterial SSU rRNA". It matches the Rfam family "Bacterial small subunit ribosomal RNA", at positions 155 to 754 of the family's 1533-position model. The record is from RNAcentral. Lineage: Bacteria; Pseudomonadati; Pseudomonadota; Alphaproteobacteria; Rhodospirillales; Rhodospirillaceae.
AACUGAUGCUAAUACCGCAUACGCCCUACGGGGGAAAGAUUUAUCGGCGAGAGAUUAGCCCGCGUCCGAUUAGGUAGUUGGUGAGGUAACGGCUCACCAAGCCUGCGAUCGGUAGCUGGUCUGAAAGGAUGAUCAGCCACACUGGGACUGAGACACGGCCCCCACACUCCUACGGAAGGCAGCAGUGGGGAAUAUUGGACAAUGGGCGCAAGCCUGAUCCAGCCAUGCCGCGUGAGUGAUGAAGGCCUUAGGGUUGUAAAGCUCUUUCGACGGGGACGAUGAUGACGGUACCCGUAGAAGAAGCCCCGGCUAACUUCGUGCCAGCAGCCGCGGUAAUACGAAGGGGGCUAGCGUUGUUCGGAAUUACUGGGCGUAAAGCGCACGCAGGCGGUUCGAUCAGUCAGAAGUGAAAGCCCCGGGCUUAACCUGGGAACUGCUUUUGAUACUGUCGAGCUUGAAUCACGGAGAGGGUAGUGGAAUUCCGAGUGUAGAGGUGAAAUUCAUAGAUAUUCGGAAGAACACCGCUGGCGAAAGCGACUACCUGGCCGUCGAUUGACGCUCAUGUGC